UCUUUUCAUUCCUUUAAAAUUGAAAUUUCUGGAUGAAAUUGUUUUGUAUUGAAGGUUAAUGGAAGAAACUAUGUGAAACCAGAACUCAAAAUUUCUGGUCCUCAUGUUCUUGGUGUUGUUGCUGCUUAUCAAGCUUCCAUUGGACCAUCCCUAAAUGACUUAUCAUGUGUCCUCACUCCUAGGGAAAACAAUGCAGUAGACUCAGCAAGAUUAACUUCACGGGAAAAAAACUGUUAAUGGAAGAAACUAUGUGAAACCAGAACUCAAAAUUUCUGGUCCUCAUGUUCUUGGUGUUGUUGCUGCUUAUCAAGCUUCCAUUUAACCAUCCCUAAAUGACUUGUCAUGUGUCCUCACUCCUAGGGAAAACAAUGCAGUACACUCAGCAAGAUUAACUUCACGGGAAAAAAGCUGUAAGCAUUCUUUUCAUUCCUUUAAAAUUGAAAUUUCUGGAUGAAAUUGUUUUGUAUUGAAGGUUAAUGGAAGAAACUAUGUGAAACCAGAACUCAAAAUUUCUGGUUUGUGAAAUUUCUAUUCUAAAAUUUUGAAUAUAGAUUA
This is a long non-coding RNA of Ipomoea nil (Japanese morning glory), 555 nucleotides long. RefSeq lists it as uncharacterized. The record is from RefSeq and is a predicted model, not a curated record. NCBI's taxonomy places the organism in Eukaryota, Viridiplantae, Streptophyta, Magnoliopsida, Solanales, Convolvulaceae. The transcript has 4 exons.